Oryctolagus cuniculus (rabbit) is the source of this 39440-nucleotide non-coding RNA. The record is from RefSeq and is a predicted model, not a curated record. NCBI's taxonomy places the organism in Eukaryota, Metazoa, Chordata, Mammalia, Lagomorpha, Leporidae.
CUCCCAGUGCGCGGCCUCGCGGGCCUUGUCUGACUGGCUGCUGGUGCGGGAGGGCCGUGCAUUUCCCUCCGCGGGCUCCCACACUCCGUUCCUGCGACAGCUCACCGCAGUUGGCACUGCUGCGGGGCCUCCCUCGCACUCCGGUGCCGUCUCUAUCGGCCGCUUCCCUCAGGUGCUGAUCUGAUGGGUUUCACUGGAGCACGGGCAUUCAGGAUGAGCUCCUCUAGGAACUGAGGAAGUGAAGUUGAACCACAACGAACUUGAAAUUCAAUGUGUUAGAGUCACCAUUCUUGACUGUGUCCUUAACAAAUUCCCCUUCGCAGGCCGGUGAGGUGCUCUGGGAUGCUGUUUAGAUAAUCGACCCCAUGUCUUUUACAAAGGAAAGGAGGCAUGCUGCGCUUCUCCUGUUGUCAUGGCUUCAGGCAACCUUUCAAAAGUUACCAUCCACCAAGAUACAUCACAGAACUGCAUAAAGACUUCUUAAAAGACCAGAACAUAAAAUAUUGCAUUGCUUAUUUGAGAGCAAUUUAUUUUGAUGGCCUUGCCGUAUUCAUGGGGAGAAAAAAGCAGCUAUGAUAAAACCAUAAAGGAAAGUAUUCUGAAAGGUUACAUGACAUUGUGCUAUUCAAGUUGCUUUCAUAUGUUGACUAAGAAACUGGUUAACUUCAAACAUAUAAUUCAAAGACAUAACCUCUAAAUUGCAUUCUUAAUAUUUGGUACACUUUUCCUUUAGUGAUAAUAAAAUAAUUGGAUAUCAGUAAGUCUGCAAUUUAUAUAACAAGUUUUUUUUCUUUCUUUUUUUUAAGUUGCUACUCCAUAUCCAUGUGCAGCUGGAUGCAGACUGUCUGUCUUAGACCCAAUGUUGGGUGACCUUGUCAUCUCACUCAACUCUGUUAUGGUCCUAACAGUACUUAGAUCAUAGAGUAGUUAUGAAAUUAAGUGAUCAGUGUUUGGAAAAUACCUAGAGAUGUUCCUGGGACAGCGAAGUAACUAUUUAAAUAUUUGAUUAUUUUAAAAGAAUCCUAUGUUUUUUGUCAUUAAUUGCAGCAUGCCCUUAAAACAUUCAAUAAUCAUUUACAUUUCACAAAGUAGUAGUUUUGGGCUUUGGCAAAGAUUGACGGGGUAAGACUUGAGGUAGACUGGCCGAUUAGCGACUGGUACCUGUCUGAUUACUGUGAAUAGGAUUCAUUUAUCCUUACUUUUGCAAUAAAAAUGCUAAAUAAAUAGACUAAAUCAUGGCAAAUUAAAUCCAACAACACAUCACUCAUCUUGAAUCUUCUUAUGUAGCAAACUCCACAUUCAAGCAGAGAGGAGAGAGGUGUGCAUACAUGACCGUGUUGGAAUAGGACAUGGGCUUUAGUGGAGGGCUCGAGUGUGCUCAGAGAGAAGAGGGUGUGAUGUGAUUAGUUUUGCACCAAGAGCCCAUCAGGAGAGGACAGAAGAAGGCCUUCCCAAAGGAGCACCCCAAAACAGUUCCUCUGGAUGCAUUGCAAAGUUUUUUCUUCCUUUGGUUAUUCUCAGAAUCUGUUUCCUCUUUCUCAUUGUGAUCAGAAGGUCCCCACAUCAGGCGCUAUUUACCUUGUGCCAAUCCAUCACUAUGCUUUCUUCCUGGUUUUCCACUGGGUGUGUUGGGAAAAGAGACUUGCUGCUUGAGAAGAAUGCUCCCCUGAACAGCAGCAGUUUGAGUCAGCAUGAGGCCUGACAUUUUGUCUGUGCAGUAAGGUUUGGACUGAAGAAAUGUGUUAGAGAAGGAUCAGUCUUUGGAGAAGGCAUCAGCAAGUAGUAUUGAUCAGAUGGGGAAGGGUCAGAAACUCAAUAAUAUGUGGCAGAAUGAAUGGGGAUUGAAUGAGGUACAGAGAGGUCCGAGAGGUUUUGGGGUUCUUGAGAGAAGCUGGGUAUUCUGUGGGCUGCAGUGACUUUCAUCUAUCUGGGAAGGAUCCAGACAUUCGUAUCAGCUGGAUGAACAUCGGUGAUCAGUGAGGUGAACAAAGAGCCAAUCUCAGCAACCUAUUGCAAUGGGAAACCCUCUCUUCAUUUUCUAGUCUGGGCCUCUCAUGUGCACAACUGGCUUCAUUGUCUGGACAGAGACCUGGAUUGCGUGGGAAUGCAGACAUCCAAAUUGCUUCAGGAAUGGAGUGUCUUCCUGAGUGUCUUCACAUGAGGUGCUGUGCAGGUUUGAUGGGAGCCGAGGAUGUGGCUUGGCCAUGUUUACCACGUGUCCUUUGUGGAGAGCAGCCCUAGAAGUGGCUGUGGGCUACAGGCAGUGCGUGUAUCCUUCACCAGCACUGUGCAAAGCUGGAGGUAGUGUCAGGCAAGUUGUUUUGUCCCCACAGGACAGCACACUCUUGAGGCUUGGAUAUUUCAUGAUUAGACACUGAUCUAAAUUAAUGUUGUGCACGCUCAUCCCUACUCUCUGCUUCCCACUUUUAGCUCCUUAAAAAUGGAAACCAAAGGCUCAGUGUCCUGCAUAGUGGGGACAAUUUAGUGCCUUGUCUCUGGAUGACAUUGAAUUAUAAUGAGAAUGGAAGUGACUGAAGGUGGGCCGGCAAUGUGGUGUGGCGGGUAGAGCAGCCACCUGCAGUGCCAGAAUCCCAUAUGGGCGCUGGUUCAAGUCCUGGCAGCUCCACUUCUGAUCCAGCUCUCUGUUAUGACCUGGGAAAGAAAUAGAAGAUGGCCCAAGUCCUUGGGCCCCUGCACCCAUGUGGGAGACCUGGAGGAAGCUCCUGGCUCCUGGCUUUGGAUUGGUGCAGCUCUGGCUGUUGUGGCUAUCUGGGGAGUGAAUCAGCGGGUGGAAGACCUCUCUCUCUCUCUCUCUCUCUCUCUCUCUCUCUCUCUCUCUGCCUCUCCCUCUCUCUGUGUGUAACUCUUUUAAAUGAAAUAAAUAAAUCUCUUAAAAAUAUAAAAAUAAAAAGAGUGAGUGAAGGUAUCUGUUGACUCAACACUCUGUAGACUCCUCAUCUUAAGUUUACACAGACUUCAGGAAAAUAGAGGAAGCUGCCAUUUUUCAUGGGUGUAAGGGGAACCUAUAAAGCUUUAUAUUGUGCUUUUGGGUAUUAAAAUAAUCUGAAAGUAUUUCAUAAUGCCUUACUAAGUAUUUGUAGAGGAGGAAUUACUGCUUUAUGGGAAAUACAAAAUAGAAGAAUUCUUAGGUCAGAGAGAGUUGAUUGUUUCAUCUAUUAAACUACCUUGGCCAUCGGAUAAUUGUACAUUUUAAUCAAAUGAUUUCUAAGAAUAGAAUAUUCUCAGAAUGAAAACUGCAUCUAUUGUCAAAUUACACCGUUAAAUAAUUUUAACAGACUGGGGAUUCCGGGAAAGUGUAAUUUACUUUCACUUUAUAAUAUUAUGGAAAUAAGAGAAAAAGGAGAUAAUGUUCAAAAAAGUCUCUUUCUUCAUAUAUUUGAGUUUAUAACUCAUAUCUCCUCAUAUCCUUUAAUAUUCCUUUGAAAAACAUAUACUCACAUACAUCUAUUUAAAACUUUUUUUUUUUUUCACUCAAGAAUAGAGGCUCUGGGAGUUGACCUGGAGGUCAAGGACAACCUAAAGUUUGUUCUGGGUUUAUGAUCCCUGGGGGCUGACCUGGGUUAAACUGAGCAUUGAUCUUGGAAUGAUUACAAAUUAUGUAAUAUAAGACACAUGUGGUAAACAGAAGUGAGCCAUGUCUCCAAGGGUGAAGAGAAACGAAACAGAUUUGAAAACUAGAUACAAGCUAGCUUGAGGUGAAGUGGCUUAAGGUACAGUAGGGGGCAGGCUAAGGAGGUUGGGGACUCCAGUCAGUGAGUGCUGGCUUUUGGAUCAUUGUCCAACAGAGCUAGGCUAGACGUUUGACCCUUCCUGAAUGACUCUAGAUCCAAUUGUGAAAAGCCAAGUUCUGUCACCUGUAUGGGAGGUUUACUGUUUGUUUGGCUUCAUCUGGGGUUGACAAUUUUGAGAAGUCUGGGCACCUUAACAGUUCCUAGCUACAGGAGUAAUUUGCCUCAUGCAAGCUGAUCUUGGGGUGUUUGGGAUACAACUGAAUGUUACUGCACGGGCUUACAUGUGGGGUUGCCUCAGUUACCCUAACCAAAGGAAGAAUAUUUGCAUCAACUGCAUGAAAAUAAGACAAUUAUGAUUUCUUUUGAGGAGUGACAUAGAUAACAUUUCAUUUCAGGGCCUUGGAAAUACAAAGAUUGAACUAAAGAUCUUGUUUGCUGUAGUUUCCACAGAAACUUUGCACUCUGAGGAGCACUUAAUACAAUAGUAGCUCAGGUAAUUAACAGUGAUGGUUUGAUUAUGGACAAAAGAGUUUAAAAGAGAACAAGGAAUUAUUGAGCUCUUUUCUUUCUAAAGGUCUUGAUUUACUCCAUUUUCAAGUCUAAAAUGGAGCAGCACUUCAUUCUAUAAAAUGAAGUCAGUGUUCCAGUGGGAGGAGCAGCAAAGGUUGGUUUUAUAUAGAGGUGAAGACUGAAGAAAGCAGAAACAAGAACAAAAAUAAAAUCGAUCAUUUAAAAGUUAUUGGCCUUGGUGAGUUAUCGUCUUCGUAGAAGGUUCUUAGAACCUUCAUUAGUAUAGUCAAAGAGACUUCUCAGUUUUUUGAAUUCAUUUUUUUUCAGACUUCCAGUUGUUGACAUUGAGUUAAAGAAAACCUACCAUUAAAUGUUCUAUAAAUCAAAGGUUCUUGCUUGUUUAUGUCUGUCAGGUAACAUUAAUAUCAUUAAUAUUUAUAGUGGACAUUUGGUAAUCUCAAUAUUCUUUUUUAUUUAAUAACUCAUAAUAUCUGACAAGGAAUGAAUGAGAUUUCAGCGAAAUUGAUUUAAAUCCUCGACUUAAGGGAAAAGGCAUUUGACUACAGCUGAACUAACUGGCAUUUCCCAACUUUUGGGUUCAUAUGAGUUGGGGAUGGACUGUGACUCAAAUCUAUAUAAUCACAAUGAAUUUCAAGACUUUCCUGGGAAUUUUGGAAAACAUAUGCCAUGAAAAUACCUGACACAGCACAUGUCCCUGGCAACUCCUGGAGGCAUGCUCAGACCACGGGGGAGCCACAGGACACUGGGAGGAGCAGCAGAGUGGCAGAAAGAAAGGAGUUCUCUUGCAGACAUUGCUGGGCAGUGAGCCUCCAGGACCUUCAAGGCCUGGCUGAAUUGUAUCAGUUAACAAGAACAUUUACACUACUAUGAAUUUUGUCAGGUUGUUUAUGAGCUUUCCUCUGAUAACAGUGCACUCUGAGAGGGUGUUCUGCAUUUCGAUUAUAUGCCUUUUAUUUGCUCAUUUACAUGUAACUUCUUGUCCUCAGAGGAUGGGUGGGGGGCAAGCAUUCCAAGAUGGGUUCCUUGAAAAACCAACUCCAGGGUUAAAUCUUGAAAACUCUCAAAUGUUAACCAGGUGGAAUGUAAUGGAAGCCAUGUGAUCUUAGUGUAGAUGUACACUGAGUGUACAUGUAGUGUUUCCUAUCGACUAUGGGUAUGAUUCAUUCCAAGUGAAUCAUACCUAUAAUCACUAUACCUCCUCUUUAGGCAUCAGGUGGCCCCCUCAUUGUCUGCUCCCACUCUGCUCUGAGGGCCCCUGUGCCAGGAGCUUUUCUCUUUGAAGGUUCUCUUCACUAUUUGCAGAACCAGCUAUGCAAACUGAUGCCAGGUCAGGCAAAGUGGUAGAGCUAGUUUUGUAGCAGAUUCAAAAACAGCACAGGUAAAGUUAGACUUGUAACACACGUGGUAGGCAGGCUGGGUAACACCUGGUCUGGUGUCCUGGCUACUUAAGUGCAAUGGGCACUCAAUUUCUCUGAGCUUGCUUUAAUCAUUUCUUAAAGGGAGAUGAUCUGAGUUUUUUCCCCAGAGGAUUUUUUGUGAGAGCAGUUAGGUGCUUGUGUAAUGGUCUGGCAUAUAAUGGGGUCUCAGGAAAAUGACCCAUGUAGGAUGGUUCAUAAAACUGCCAUUCCCCAUGAGAAAUAGCCUUGUAUGCUCUGGAGGUGGCCUCUGGGACAGCCACCCUGACCCCUCCCACCCAGGGAAAAACGUGAGUAGCAUCUCAUGGGAAGGGUGAAGGCAAGCUGACCACAGCUGCGGCUUGUAUCUUUGCGGAACCCUUUGUGCUUGUUUACUAUUUAAUGCUAUACUCCAACCAGAUGGGGCAGGUUACUUUUUCACUGACUGGCUGCCCUCAGUCACUCCUGUAAAUAAAGGUAAAUAACUCUCCCAAUCGGAAUUCAGGUGGUUUUUUAGAAUUAAUGAAUAUUAUGUGUGAACCUUCUUGGACUUUGGACUCUUGUAAUACUACAGUAUACUGGUAUUCUUUCACUAUGGCUCAUUGUUUGAAAAUCUAAGGCUCCCUAAUAAUACUUAAAAAUGAGUAUGUAGAUUAGACAGCCAGCCUGAGUACAGAAAGAAAAAUCACACUCCAAGUGAAUCAUACCUAUAGUCAAUAGUUACUGCUCUACAAUAGUACAAGCUCACAUCAUUUCCAUUGCAUCCACCUGGAUAACACCUGAGCGUUUUCAAGCUUUAAUGCUGGAAUUGGUUUUUUCUAGGAAUCCAUCUUGGAACACACAUCCCCACUCAUCUUUUACCCUCCCAAUACAGACCCGUCUUCCUUCUUCCAGUGACUGUUAACUAUUUUUCCUAUGUCUCCACAAAUGCCCCAUCUAGAUAUCAUCAAGUGGUGGUCUUAUCCCCAUGCAUUGCCAAAAGGGGCCAAAGUCAAAGAGCUCAGAGGAGAGAACUAUGGGGAUCAAAUGAUAACUAAGCCGUUGUGGUUGAGCAAGGAAGAGGGGGAAGUCAUGCCAUUUAGCCCUACUCACAAAAUCACAGUGAUCCUAAGACUCAGAAAUGCAUGGGACUGGGGAAACUCCGUGCCAGCCGAGAUGGGACAUUUCUUUCCAUGUCCCUGAAAUUGCUGGUACUCUUAGUUUAUGCCCUGGAUAUUUUAGAGGAUGAACACAACCAAACUUGCUUGUGAAUCAGCAAAAUUACCAGGAAAACAAAACCCUUGUAUGCCACUCAGCAGUGCUUCUCUGGUUACCUGGAGGGAUCUUGGGAAGAGAUGCUCAGAAAUGGAUGGGAGCCAGAAUGAGUUUUAUCCACUUCAGUUAUUAGGAGGGGCUGACUGGCAGUCAUCUUUAUAAAUGACAUCAAUUCUAACUCCAAAACUCCUGCAGAAAUGAACUCUUAUUUAUUUUUUUAAUCAAAGUCUGGGGUAUAAAUAACUGCCUUUGCAUUAGUUUCAUUUACUGAGAGUAAUUUUAUUAUUCAUUUGAGAAAUUAUCAUUCAUCUUUGUGUGAGUGCUUCAUAGCUUCAUAGCUUCAUAAUUUAGCAUAUGAAAAGUCUCUGUUGAAUUCAUCCCUUGGCUUUCAGGCUUUGCUGUGCUGGAAGAGUCUGAUUAGGAAAGAGAGAAACUCAAGUGUUUGGAAUCCUAGGCUUGUAAAAUGUUAAUGGCUCCUGGUUCUUGUUAUCCAACAAUCGAAACUGGCAUUUUCUGUUUUCCGCUGAUAUCAAGUCAAUAAGCGGGGAAGAAGGCUAUAAUCAAAAGCAGCAUGCACACAUUAUGUGGUGAUUUAAUUAGAAGCCUUGAGAAACUGGUCCGUGCUCCAGUGUUAGAAUUUGUGGUAAACCAACCAUAGUAGGGGUAGUGUGAUGUCAGGAGCUUGGCACUUGAGAAGAGGGAGGAUCAUUCCAAGUAACCCCAGUGUUGUUCCUUCGUGACAAAUUAGACCAUUUGACAAGCAGGGUCCUUUUCAAAAGAGCAUGUCAACGUGGGGAUGGCACAUUUGAAAUAUCUGUGUAUAAGAAAACACACAGGAAUCACAGGAACAAUGUGCAGUUCCUCCAGGGAGACACUGUCUUACAUCUCUCUGGCUUCUCAGCCCCUGGCGUACUUUGAUCUUCCCAAACUGAAACUCUGAACCCUUAAACAGUAACUUCCCAGUUUUCUUUCUGUCUUUCUGAGUUUGACCACUCUAAGUACCUCAUGUAAGUAUAAUCCUAUAGUACUUGUCUUUUUUUGUGCCCGGUUUAUUUCACUUAGUGUACUAGUUUCAAGGUUCACCCAUGUUGUAGCAUGUACCAUAAUUUCCUGUCUUUUAAAGGCUGAAUACUAUUCCUUUGUAUGAGCAAACUACAUUUUCUUUAUGUAGUCAGUAGACUUCUAGGUUAUUUCUAGCACUUGGCCAUUGUGAAUCAUGCUGCUAAUGUUGUGGCAUGGCCCCCUUGCUAGUUUUGGUCCAGGUUCUUGUCUACACACAAGAAGGAAUUCAUGAACGAGACAUAAGGGAAGAUAAGCAGAGACAUGAUAUUUACUUGAAGAGAAAUCAUACACUCAAGGAAUCAGUGCAGACAAACUUAAGAUAGUCACAGUUAACAAGGUUUGGGGUCAUUUUGUAUGAUCUGGGAGCAUAGGGUGGAUGUCUGGGGUGAGGCUUAAUUGAAUAUUCAACAUAGAUGGAGUUGGGGCUGGGGCUUGAGUACAAACAUUUCCUUAUUCUUUUUUGGAAAUCUCAGAAGUGUCAUGGUAUCAGAUGCAUGAGGGGAGUCAGAGUGUCAGCCAUGGUAAUCUUAUUAUUAUGACAGUAUUAUGAACUAAAGAUUGUGAGGGGGCUGGCAUUGUGAUGUAGUGGGUAAAGCCACCACCUCUGAUGCUGGCUUCCCAUAUGUGCUCCACUUCUGAUCCAGAUCCCUGGAAAUGGCCUGGACAAAGUGUUUUGGCCCCUGCUACCACGUGGAAGAUCCAGAUGAAGUUCCUGGCUUUGGCUUGGCCCAGCCUUGACCAUUGCGGCCAUCUGGGGGAGUGAACCAGCGGAUGGAUAUUUAUCUCUCUGUAAUUCUUUCAGAUAAGUAUUUUUUUAAAAAAAGAUCAUUGUGGGGAUAUAGGCAGAUAGUUUUAAGUCUGUGAAACUUCAACAACAUUGGUCUGCAUAGAAGGGAGUGGUUUUUUUUUUUUUUUUUUUUUUGGUGCCUUGGAGUGGCAGUACAUGGGCUCCUCCUCACUAGCUGUUUUCCUGCUCACGUUACUGUAAACAUGGCUGUAUGCAUUCUGCUUUAGUCUCUGUUCCCCAGUCUUUUGGGUAUACAGGUAAGGUUUCUAAACUGACAUUUGAAGUGAGAAAAUACAUGAGGACUGAAAUAGUGACUUUGGCGUUCAUAGAUGUGUUUGAACUGACCUUAUGAUUCCUUGGCAGACAUCUGCCAAUGCCCCACCCAAUCCCCUGCACCUGUGCUCUGGGAUUUCCACCUUGCACACUUGUCUCUGCUCUUGCCCUGUCUGGAAUCCUCUCCUGUACAUUGCUUGUCCAAAUGCUAAGGUCCUUCAGGACCCACUUCAGGUCAUGUCUCCACAGGCCCUCCUGCUAGUAUGGAACAAUUCCUCAACUUAGUCAAGGAAAUUUAUGACAAACCCAUGGGCAGCCUCUUACUGAACGGGGAGAAGUUGGAAGAAUUUCCACUAAGAUCCAGGACUAGAAAAGUAUUCCACUUUCACCAUUGAUAGUCAAUAUUAUCCUGGAAGUUUUAGCCAGCCUCGGCAGUCUAAGCCAAAAUGCUGUGAGGGACAAACAGCCGCAGUGCAGACGUGAGGAGAGUUUGGGAGGAGAAUGUGGAUAGACAGGAAAGCGAAGGCCUGGCUUUUCCAAUCUGGGAGCCACACAAUAUAUAUUACAAACACAAUAAGAACUGGGCAUGCUCAGGCCUCAAGUGCCCUGAGGGGGAAAACCUGCUGUGAAAUGGGAUUGAGCUGCUCCCUUUUGAAACCUCCUGAUAGGUUCAGUGCUUUUGGGGUGUAACUAUUCCAUCUCCCUCUCUCACCCAUGAGCUCCCUGGCCUGUGUCGUGAUAAAGCACAGCUGAAUCCCUUUAUUAUAAUUCAGCCCCUUCCUCCCUCUGUCUCUUUUAGGGGAGGCCUGAGGAGAAUAUUUUUUAAGGAGAGAAAAAUGGGCUGGCACUGUGACAUAAUGGGCUAAGCCUCUACAUGUGGUACCAACAUCCCAUAUGGGUACAUACUGGCUACUCCUCUUCUGAUCGAACUCUCUGCUAGUGGCCUGGGAAAACAGUGGAUGAUGGUCCAAGUCCUUGGGACCCUGAACCCACAUGGGAGACGUGGAAGAGCUCCAGUCUCCUGGCUUCAGAUUGGCCCAGCUCUGGCCAUUGUGGCCAUUUGGGGAGUGAACCAGUGGUAGGAAGACCUUUCUGUCUGUCUCUCCCUCUGUCUGUAACUCUACUUCUCAAUUAAAUAAAAAUAAUAAGAAGAAAAACACCUUUCAGGGCUGCAAACAAUCAUAGAAGCUAAAAAUGUGGAUUUCACUCCUAUACAUUACAUUUUUUUGCUACUCUAUUAAUAACCACAGAUCAGGGAAAAUGUAUAUUUGUCUUUUUGGGACUGGCUGAUUUCAUUAAGUAUAAUGGUUUCCAGUUGCAUCCAUUUUGUUGCAAAAGACAGUGUUUUUUUUUUUUUUACAGCUGACUAGUAUUUCGUAGUAUAUAUAUACCAUAAUUUUUUAACAGCUAUCAGCUGAUGGACAUCUCGGCUGAUUUCCUAUCUUAGCUAUUAUGAAUUGAGCUGAAAUAAACAUGGGAGUACAGAUAACACUUUCAUAUGCCAAUUUCAUUUCCCUUGGGUAAGUUCACAGGUGUGGGAUUGCUGGCUCAUAUGGUAGAUCUGUUUUCAGCUUUCUGAGGUAUCUCCGUACUGUCUUCCAUAAUGACUAUAUUAGUUUACGUUCCCAACAGCUGUGGAUUAGGGUGCCUUCUUCCUCACAUCCUCACUGCCAUUUAGUGUUAGUUGAUUUCUGUAUGAGAGCCAUUCUAAUGGGGGUGAGGUGAAACCUCAUUGUGGUUUUGAUUUUCAUUUCCCUGAUGGCAAGGGAUCCAGAGCAUUGCUUCAUGUGUCUGUUGGGCAUUUUAUUUUUCAUCUUUUGAAAAAUGACUGUUCAAGCCCUUUUCCUACUUCUUAACUGGAUUGUUUUGCUAUUGUUGAGUUUCUUGAACUCUUUAUAGAUUUUGGAUAUCAAUUCUUUAUCAGUUUAAUAGUUUUCAAAUAUUUCCUUCCAUUCUGUUGGUUGCAUCUUCACUUUGCUGAGUGUUUCUUUUGCAGUGAGGAAGCUUUUCAAUAUGAUGUAAUCUCAUAAUCCCAUUUGUCAAUUUUGGCUUUGAUUGCUUGUACUUCUAGGAUCUUCUCCAAGAAGUCUUUACCUAUGCCGAUAUCUUACAGAGUUUCCCCAUUGUUCUCCUCUAGCAAUUUGAAGGUAUUGGGAUGUAGAUUUAGAUCCUUGAUCUAUUUGAGUUGAUUUUUGUAGGUGUUGUGAAGUAGGGGUCUUGUUUCAUACUUCUGCAUGCAGAGAUCAAAUUUUCUUACCACCCUUUGUUGAAGAGACCGUCCUUUCUCCUGGGAUUGAUUUUAGUACCUUUGUCAAAGAUUAGUUGGUUGUAGAUGUGUGGAUUGACUUCUGGAGUUUCUAUUCUGUUCCAUUGGACUGCAUGUCUAUUUUUGCUGCAGUACCAGGCUGUUUUGAUUAUUAAUGCCCUGAAGUAUGUCUUCAAACAGAUGUUAUGAUGCCUUUCAUGUUGUUUUUGUUGCUUAAGAUUGCUUUGGCUAUGCAGGGUCUCUUUCAUUUCCAUAUAAAUUUUAGCAUCAUUUAUCCUAGAUCUGAGAAGAGUAUCUUUGAUAUUUUGAUUGGGAUAGCAUUGAGUCUGUAAAUUGCUUUCAGUAUUAUGAAAAUUUUGAUGAUAUUCUUUUUUAAAAAAUUUUUAAAAUUCAUUUGACAGGUAGAGUUACAGACAGAGAGAGAGACAGAGAGAAAGGUCUUCCUUCCGUUGGUUCACCCCUCAAAUGGCCUCAACAGCUGGCACUACACUGAUCUGAAGCCAGGAUGCAGGUGCAUCUUCCUGGUCUCCCAUGUGGGUGCAGGGGCCCAAGCACUUGGGCCAUCCUCCAUUGCCUCCCCCGGGCCACAGCAGAGAGCUGGACUGGAAGAGGAGCAACCAGGACUAGAACCCAGUGCCCAUAUGGGAUACUGGUGCCGCAGGUGGGGGAUUAGCCAAGUGAACCAUGGCGCCGGCCCCGAUGAUAUUAAUUCUUCCAAUCUGUGAACAUAGAAGAUUUUUCCCUUUUUUGUGUCAUCUUCUAUUUCUUUCUUUGAUGUUUUAUAAUUUUCAUUGUAUCGAUCCUUGAUAUCCUUGGUUAGAUAUAUUCCAAAGUAUUUAAUUUUUUCGGUAGCUAUUGUGAAUGGAUUGAUCUAGAAGUUCUUUCUCAGCCAUGGCAUUAUCUGUGUAUACAAAGGCUAUUUAUUUUUUUUUGUGUGUUAAAAUUAUAUGCUGUCAUUUUACCAAACUGUUUUAUGAGUUCCAGUAGUCUUAUUGUGCAGUCUUUAGGUUGUUCUAUAUGUGGAAUCCUUUCAUCUCCAAAUAGGGAUGAUUUUAUUUCUUCCUUUCUAAUUUGUAUCCCUUUGAUUUCUUUUUCUUGCUGAAUGGCUCUGGCUAAAACUUCCAGGACAAUAUUAAUAUCAAUGGUGAAAGUGGAUAUACUUGUCUAGUUCUGGAUCUUAGUGGAAAUGCUUCCAACUUCUCCUUGUUCAAUAAGAGGCUGCCCAUGGAUUUGUCAUGAAUUGCCUUGAUUGUGUUGAGGAAUGUUCCUUCUAUACCCAGUUUGCUUAGUGUGUUCAGUAUGCAAGGAUGUUGAACUUAUCAAGUGGUUUUUCUCCAUCUAUUGAGAUAAUCAUAUGGUUUUCAUUCUGCAGUUUGUUAAUAUGUAUCACAUUUAUUGUUUUGUGAAUGUUGAACCAUCCUGCAUACUAGGGACAAUUCCCUCUUGGUCCAGGUGAAUUAACUUUCUGAUGUGUCGUUGGAUUUGAUUGGCUAGUAUUUUGUUGAUGAUUUUUCCAUCUGUGUUCAUCAGAAAUGUUGGCCUACAGUUCUUUUUCUCUGUUGUAUCUUUUUUCUGGUUUUGGAAUUAAGGUGUUGCUGGCCUCAUUGAAGGGGUUUGGAAGGCUUCCCUCCCUUUCAAUUGUUUUGAAUAAAUCAAGAAGAAUUAGAAUUAGUUCUUCUUUAAAAAUCUGUUAGACUCAGCCAUUAAGCCAUCCCAUCCCGAGGUUUCUUUGCUGGGUGGGUAUUUUUUACUGACUCAGUUUCUGUCUUGGUUAUUGUUCUUUUUAGGUUUUCUAUGUCUUAAUGACUCAAUUUUGGAAGAUUGUAUGUGACUAAGAAUCUGUCCAGUGCUUUUUGAUUUUCUAAUUUAUUGGCAUGUAACUUUUGUAGUAUUUCCUGAUCUUUUGUUUUCUAUGUUAUCCAUUGUUACAUUUACUUUUUUGUAUCUGAUUUUAUUGAUUUGUGUCUUCUUUUUUUGUUUAGCUGUGAUAAUGGCAUGUCAAUUUUGUUUAUUUUUUCAAAACACCAUCUAUUCAUUUCACUGAUCACUUUUUUUAAUUUAAAUUUUGUUUAUUCUCUAAUUUUAAUUAUGUCUUUCCUCCUACUAUUUUAGUUUCUUUCCCCCUACAUCCUUGAGAUGCAUUGACAGCUCAUUUAUUUUAUGACUUUUGAGUUAUUUGAUGUAGGCACCAAUUGCUGUAAGAUUCCUUCUUAACCCUGUUUUUGCCGUUUCCCAUAAGUUUUGAUAUGUUGUAUUGUCUUCAUUCAUUUCCAGAAAUUUUUUGAUUUCUCCUUUGGUUUCUUCUAUGACCCACUGGGGAUUCAGUAGUAUGUUGUUCAGUUUCCAAGUGUUUGCAUAUAUUCUAGAGCUUCUUGAGUUGUUGAUUUCAAGCUUCAAUCCAUUGUGAUGAGAGAAAAUGCAUGGUAUAAUUUUGAUUUUUUUGAAUUUGCCGAGGCUUACUUCUAGCUUGGAUAUUCUUUCUUCUGUCCCACCCAAUCUCUUGUUAAGGCUUUCCACCAUAUUUUUAUUUGACAUUUUGAAAUCUUCAUUUCUAAUAUUCCAGUUUGAUUUCUCUUAAAAAUCUUAAUCUCAUAGGAGAAUUUUUCUUCCAUGUUAUAUAUGGAUUUCUUUAACUCAUGAAUUUGCUUUUCAUUGUUUCUGAGUAAUUUUAGGAUUCAUCUCUGAAUUGCUUUUCAGGCAUUUCAUCAGUCUCUUUGUCAUCACAUUCUAAUACUGAAGUGUUGCUGUGUGUGUUUGGGGGCGUCAUGUUUUUUAUCCUUAUUCUUGUUUUACUAAAUUUUUAUGGGAAUACUUGUUGCUUUUUUUCCUGAGCGAUUUUAACUUUGAAUUAUGCCCCUAUGUCUUAGUGGAGUGUCUUCUAGAACUUUCAGUGAAUAUCCAGAAGUGUGCUGGGUGUUGCCAGGGAACCUUGGUCAGUGCUCCAGCAUGGUGCACGUAUCCAGGUGAUAGCCAAGUUGGGCAUGUUAUAUCUCCUUACUUGUCAAUGUGGAAGAGGGUAUGAUCACUUCUGUCAGUGUAAUCAUACCUUCACCUCUUCUCUUCAAGGGUGAUUACUGCCCUGUGUUAGCCCAUGGUGGUUGCAACAUUUACCCACACUGCCACAUAAACUGCACAAAAGAUCUGUGCAGUCCUCAUGUCAAACAGAUCCUGGUACAAUGACCUACUGCAGUUAACGAGGGAGCUUUGAGUCUUUGGUACCACAGUUAUUGCCCAGAGACCCAGCUACAUCCUGCAUCCUAUCUUGCACUCACAUGGUUUCCACUAUCUCAGCACACAAGCUCCCACAGUCAUGUGGUACAAAGGGUCCACUCUGCCCCACUAGCCUAUCCCAUUCACAGAGAGGCAGAGACAUUCCAAGGGCCAGCUGACUGUGUAUGCUCCUCUUGGUGAUUGGAGCCCCAGAGCCUGUGUACGUAGAGUGGCUAGGGCACCUCACAGUCCUGUGUGUGUUGCCAGUCCCCUGUCAGUUCUCCCAGCCAUACUCAAAGACAGUGGGGAACACUGAUAUUUUUCUUUUUGUAUAAUCCUUGGGUCACAUGCGUGUACAAGACCUGCUGUAUCUACUACUGUUUUAAAAUGGUGCCUUCUCCUGGCCUGUUGCCGGACGCAUGCACUCAAGCUGCUGCAGCUGUUACUGUUAUCAUGAUGGUGCCUUUUCCCCACUAGUUGUUGGAAUGUGCAGAAGAGCUGGCACAACUACUACUGAUGUCGAAAUGACGCCCUCUUACAGCUGGUUCUAGGUAACCUUGUUGGGGGAUGGGGAUAGAGAAGCAUUCUGUUUUUUCACUGAGUUAGGCUGGUACCCUGUAGCACUUAGGGCUCCAGGCUGUACUCAAAGAGUGUAAUUCCACCAGUUCCUUCCUCUGGCUGUAUUGCCAGUGGCAUGGGCUGCUACAGUCUGGUCUCACACUGCUCCCCAAAGCUGCACUUUGCUGGCUCUCAGCUGUGGGGGUUGGGUGUUGUGUCCACCCUCAUUGCUGAGUAUCUGCAGCUUCCCGAGUGGUCCACAGCUUCCCUCUUUUCUUUGUCGAGUUUCCACUGCAGACGUCUCUCCAACUUUCCCCAGGAAUGUGCUUCCUUCACUUUUUUGCUGCUGUUUUCUCCUAGCCUAAAGAAGUACUUCCUUUUCCUAUUCUGCCAUUUUGGAAAUCUCUGAAAACAAUUUUAGAGUGGUUGAUUUAUGGAUGGCUCUUCAUUAGGUGGGAUCAUAUGGGUAGGAAAAUGAAGCUCAGAGAGAUUAAGACAGGUGUUCCAUUCCUCCAGCUAACAGGGAGCUGAGCUGAGCAUCAAGUUUAUCACAUUCUGAUAUGCAUUACUAGGCAUACCUCCUACCUAAGCACUCCUUUCAGAAUAUGGUGCACUGUGCAGGUAGUGUAUAUUAGCUGAUUAGUUCGUUAACAUUUCAGUUCCUAGGAUACACAAUGACUGCCUGAGACCAAGUGCUGACUUCCCUUCCCUUCUUUGGGCUAGGUGUUGAGGAACUUUUCUGUGCAGAGAGACGAGAGGCUGUUGGCAGUACUUGUCUCCUCCUGUGGGGGUCCACCUCCUUCACCCAGGCCUGUUCAGGGCUUUGAUCCACUCCUCCCCAUAGGAGAUUGCAAUUAUUGGGAAUCAGAUCUUGGCCUUUCUGAAUCCUUUGGAGAGUUGACUUGACUGUAGGUCCCUGUUGCCUAACAUCCAGUAAUUGAUGGCAGUUUUAUUUUAUUUUAAUUAGAAUUUUAGCCUUCCUCCUCUCCUCACUGUACCUGUAGGAAAUACUCUGAUUAAUUAAGAAUUGACUGCAAUUCCAUUGGUGUUUAAUGAUUUAUUUUUCAUGCUGCAGUCCCAGUUUCCUGCAAGGCAUCCUACCUCCUCCUACAUGUUUACCUCCUGCUGAGAGUGAAGUUACUAACCAAGGAUGUUUUAUUUGGAAUGCAGCCUUCCUCAUAAUAGAGGAAGAACAGAUUAUUGGGGGAGGCGUUUAUGAAGAGUGGAGUGGUGACAAUGCUCUCUGUGGAGCCCAGAGUCUCCUUGGAAAAUGUCCUGGACAAGAAUCAAUUUUGUGUGUGUGUGUGUGUGGGGGGGGGUGAAUUUGUCCAAGUUUAGCAGAUGUUCUAAAUGUUAGAAGUUGACAGGGACAUUGUUGAGAGUAACCUUUUCUCUGAAGUUGGGAAAAGCAAAAGAAGAAAAUGUUUUGACUGCCUUGGAGAAAGAGCACAUCCCUUAUGUGUUUCGGCCUGCUGGAUUCAGAGGAAAGAAGCAGGUUAUUGUACGGGGUAUAUGCUUGGGAUGUGUCAAAAAUUGGAAGUGGAGUUAGAAUUUGAGCUUAUGACAAAAUCAGGCACAAGUUAAAUGGUGGAUAAGAUGGUUGCCUAUAAAGAUAUUUGUAUCUUAGGCCUUUUAACAUUGGAAAACAUUUAGAUCAAAUGCACAUUCGCACAUAUAUGUGAUGCUUUUCCUGUUGGAAAAUGUGUUCCACUACCUGUUUAGGCUCUAGACCCCAACCAUGGCCACUGGCAGGGACAUGGUAGUUAAGACCCUGGCUGGAUAUCCAUGUCUGCUUCUUGUGUCUGGCGGCCUGCUCCCACAUUCUUCUUAACCAAUCCAUGGAUCUGCCACUGCGUGGCUUCCAUUUUUCACAUCUGGCAUUCUUAAGGACAGCCUUCACCACUCUGUGCACCCAGCUUCUAUUAGCCUCUGCGUCUUUUGCAUUUCCCCCUUGCACUUGUUCUCUUGUCACACUAGAGUGUUUGAAGUGGUUGGCAGUGCCCUCUCAGGCCUCUGUAGAUUUGUCAUGUAAGCAUGCAAUAUGUCUUUACAUUUUCACCAGAGUCAGAAAGUAUUUUAGAAGCACACUGCUUACAAUAUGUGCACCCUUAAAUAUUGGCAUGGUUAGAUCUUAUUCAUCCUAAAAUAUUCAGUUAGAUACCAAUUCCUCUGAGAACUAACCCUGUGUCCUCCCAUUCUGGAUCUAUUAUCAUAUUGAUGUGCUCCUACGGCAUCCAGUAUAUGCAGCAGGCUUAACAUGCAUUUCAUUACACUCUAUCAAUUUCCCUAAUAGAUGGCAAGUUCCUUAGACAGCAACAAUGCCUCUUUGUCCCCAGUCCAUAGUAGAUACUCAGAUUGUUUAAGUGGAUGCCAGUUAUUAUGACGCAGCAUAGUAAGCUGCUGCUUGCAACACCAGUAUCCCAUAUCAGAGUGACUAUUUGAGUCCUGGAUACUGUGCUUCCAGUUCAACUCCCUGAAAAGGAUCCUGGGAAGGCAACAGAAGAUGGACUAAGUACUUGGGCCCCUGCCACUUAUAUGGGAGACCAGGAUAGAAUUCCUGGAUCCUGGCUUUGGCCUGGCCUAGACCUCGCUGUUGUGGCCAUUUGGGGGAGUGAAUCAGUGAGUGGGAGCAUGUUUCUCUCUCUCUCUCUCUCUCUCUCUCUUUUGCUCUGCCUUUCACAUAAAUAAAAAAAUUUGAUUGUUGGAGGCAAACUAUCUGACAUCAUCUGAAAUCAAUUUUAAUAUCUACAAGGGGAGGGGAUGUCUCAAAAUAAGAGGAGAACCUAGAAGCCAAGGAGAAUAGCAAUUUCAGAUGACUGAUUAGAGAAAGGGCUGCAAAAUACAUUUGCAGAUGGGAACCAGGCAGUUACAGAAUGUAAAGAAGAAAAGGAAACCUACUGUUUUAUCUUCUUAGUGAUUGCUCAAACAAGAAGAUCAUGAGUGAUGUCUGCUGCAUGCCCAUCACAGAGCUUCCUGAGUGCUGACCCUGACCAUGUCAUUGGUGAUGGCUCUUACAUAGCGAGGGUUAAUGAUUCUGAUGGCCCCUGUUCAUAUAUCUAAGAGUAGCUGGGAGACAAGAGUGUGGCGAGUGUCUUUUCUGGGCGUGUACACGAGUAAUCCCCUGUGUGCUUCUGAGACCCCUUUGAUCACUGAAGUUUCCUUUGAAAUUUUACUCCUAAUCCUACUGCACAGGCGAAACAGUAGGAUGUGGUUGUCUUCUAUCCUGACAAUGCUGGGUGUGGGGAGCAACUGAGACUAGACUAAGUUACUGGAAUUAAGACUUAUUCUAUGCAUCUGCUCUCCCACAAUAUGGCGCUGGGGAGGAGUAAAACUUCUACACAGCUGCCUCUCGCCAAUUUGACUGAUAAGCUGCAGGAGCUGAUCCUGCUCCUGAUUGGAGGAGAGCAGCAUGCUCGGCGUGUGGGUAGCAGAGUUGGGUUGGUGAAAGAGGACUAUAAAGGAGGAGAGAGACAACAUGCACCAGGAACAUCUGAAGGAACACCUGAGCAGCCCCCCGAGAGAGCCGGCCGGUGGUGUGCCGCUCCUCUUCGGAAGCGGGGAAAGUGGCAGGGGGUGCCGCCCCUCCACAGAGGUGGAGGGGUCGGCAGCCAACCCGGGAAGGACCUGCAGCUAACCCAGGAAGGGCUGGGCAGAAAGAACAGCGCAGGGUCCUGUGUCGUUCCUCCGCGAAUGGGGGAGCGACACUGGGAAGCUCCUACCUUGUCAUUUUUUCAUAGCGCCAAGUUGCUAUCCCAGGCCCAGUUCUCCUGCAUGAUGGUCUCUUGUUUCCUAGACUGAUUCUGCCAUGCUGCACUCCUUGGUUACCCUUCAGUCACUCCCAGUGCUGCUCAUUUUGCUAGUAACUUAAUGUUUGUUCUUUUAGCCCUUCUCACACAGGGGUGGGCAUAUCUUAAGAGGUGUGUGACACAGAAACUCCCCAAGGAAUGAUGCGAAUGUCGAUUGAGGUGGGGUUGUUGUGGUGCUCUUCAGUGGAUCAAGCCUUCCACACCCUGUGUAGUCUGUUCCCAUGCUGACUCUAGCACUGGCCCUGGGGCUGCUGUGGCCUCCGAAGAACUAGCAAAUGUGACAGAGAGAGAAUUGCUAAAUGCUUGCCCUUUGGGGCUUGCUUUGUUUGAACACGGCCCGAUAUACCCUGAAGUCAGGGUUAUCCUGGCCCCCAGCUGGCAGCUUUGCUGUCCGCCAGGCAUUUGAUGGAUUCCCCCUUGGAUCGUUCAUCCCAGCUAAGCUCUAGAUUAUGCAGCCUUGUGGGUGACCACAGGCAAGACCAGUCAAAGAACCACUCAGCCAUCCCUGAUAUGAAAUGCAGAAUUGUGAACAAUAAACCAUGGUGAUUUUGUUAUUAUGGUGUAGGGUAAUUGUUUAAUUUAUUUCAUUUUUAUUUUAAAUUUUAUUUAUUUGAGAGGCAGAGAGAUAGAGACAGAGCUAACAUCUGCUAAUUCUCUCCCUAAAUUCCUGCAACAUCUGGAGCCAGGCUGGGGAUGAAGUCAGGAGCCUAGAACACAAUCCAAGUCUCCCACGUGAGUGGCAGGACCCAAUUACUUGAGGUAUCACUGAUGCCUCUAAGGAUUUGUAUUAACAGAAGGCUGGAGUCAGGAGCCAGAGCCAGGGUGUGAACCCAGGUGCUCUGAUGUGGGAUGUGCCUAUCUCAUUUUUUAUCUAUAUAGUUACAUAGAUAACUGAAAUAGAAGCUGGUACCUAGAAGUGAAGUGAUGCUGUUAAAACAAACAUACUUAAAACGUGGCACCAGCUUUAGUUUGAGGGCAGCAGUGGGAGAAAUGGAAACAUGGCAGGGAACUUCUAGCAAAGACAAAGGCUGGAGAUGUAGAAAUGGAUUGUUUGGGUUGGGGGGCUUGGAGAAGCAGUGAAGAACUGAACCUGUUGGGGACCAAUGGUGUCCUGUAAUAUGACACUUGGCAGACUGGCUUCUUCAGGGAAGAUAGGUAGUACACCAGAGCUCUUGCCAGUCUGCCUGAGGAUAUUGCCAGGUAAAAAGUGCCCACUGGCUUCUUUUGGCAGCCCGUGAGAAGGUGUGGGAAGAGAGACUUGAAUUUGAGAGAGACUUGCUCAGUGUUGAGGUAGAUUCGUUCUGAGAGGAGGAGCGUGAUGGGGGCAAGAGGCGCAGAGUCACCACACAGACACCAGGAGUCGGGUGAAAGCAGGCCAGAGGCAAUCAGCCUGCAGACUCAUUUAUUUCAGUUGCUACAGCAGCUUAUAUAGCCAAGGCAGCCAAUCCAGUCAAGGAGCGGUCUAUGCCCUAACCAAUCAUGCCUGGUUGCCAGGCAGCUUCGGAAACCAUCCAGUCACAGCCUGUUGCCAGUCAGGCUCCAUUGCCAUGUGGUUUCCAAAACCAUCCAAUCACAGCCUAUUGCUGGGCAGGUUCUGUUGCCCGUGGCCAUCUUGGCAUGGCCUUCUCAGUCCACCACAGUUCAGUUUACAGACAGAAUUUAGGACUCCAGAAGAAUCAAGACUUGCUGAUUUGUAAACACAACUGUUUCUCACUUCCAGUAUCUCCAGCUGGCAAGGUUCCCAAAGUAAGAAAUAGCCUUGAGAUGAAAAAGAAAUCAAGGUGGCUCUAAGGACCUUUGUUAUGCACUCAGGGACAUGUGAGAGCAUGUACGUGACCCAUGUGUCUGGGUAGAAAGCAUAUAAGAAGUGUCAGAAUGCUGUGUUAAAGCGGCCUAAUUUAUCUCAUGCAGGAAGAAGUCUCUUCAGAAAGCACUGUGGUUGUAGAUGUUAGAAUGUUAAAGACUCAAACAUUCUACAGAAUCCCACAAAUCCUUUUUUUAAAAAUAUUUACUUGUCUAUUUGAAAGGCAGAGGUAGAGAGAGCCAGAGGCUGCAAUGGCUGGAGCAUGAGCUGGUCUGAAGCCAGGAGCCAGGAGCUUCUUCUUGGUCUCCCACGUGGGUGCAGGGGCCCAAGGACUUGAACCAUCCUCUACUGCCCUCCCAGGCCAUAUCAGAGAAAUGGAUAGGAAGUGGAGCAGCCGGGACUCAAACUGGCACCCAUAUGGGAUGCCAGCACUACAGGUGCCGGCUUUUAUGUGCUAUGCCACAGCACCAGCCCCUCCCACAAAUCCUUUAAGAGUUAUAUUGGCAAAAAUACUAUCACCAUGGGAGUGAGGUAAUUAGAAAUGUAAAGAGACCCCAUCUUCCAGCUUUCAAAUGGGAGAGGAAGUAAGAAAGCUCAGUAGCACACACACAUCAUGUCCAGGCCUGAUGCGAAUAACGAGAUCAUUGGCUUCAAGCCUGAGACCACUGUCAGCUGAGGAUUUGGAGGUCCUGGAUGAUGCUGAGUAUGUUUUGUGUGUUGAAGUGACAUUCCCCUGCAGCCUGAGGAUGCAUUGUGGGAGAUCCUUAAGUUACACUCUAGGAUCCAUGCUUUUGGUAGACCCCUCUGAUGUUGAGUCUGAACUUGGCCUUGCUGUUUCCUUUUUCCAUUCAGUGAAAGUCACACAGGCAGAGGCCUGAAAGUGUUUGUAAUUGGGGACUUGUCCUCUUAAAACCCGGUUGUCAUUUAAAGAAGCCUGGGCUGUUGUCGCUCCCCCUCUUCGUGGAGGAAAGACACAGGACCCUGUGUUGUUCUUUUGUCUGCUCGGCCCUCCCCGGGUUUGCUGCUGGUUCUUCCCGGGUUGGCUACCAUCCCUUCCACCUCCGUGGAAGGGCGGUUCCCCCUGCCACUUUCCCCACUUCCGCGGGGGAGCGGCACACCGCCGGCCGGCUCUCUCGGGGGCUGCACAGGUGUUCCUUCAGAUAGAUGUUCCUCUUAGAUGUUCCUGGUGCAUGUUGUCUUUCUCCUCCUUUAUAGUCCUCUUCCACCAAUCCCAACUCGGCUACCCACACGCCGAGUACGCUGCUCUCCUCCAAUCAGGAGUAGGUCCUACAGUUUAUUGGUUGAACUGGAGGCAGCUGUGUAGAAGCUGUUUCCUCCUCUCCCAGCGCCAUAUUGUGGGAGAGCAGAUGCAUAGAAUAAGUCUUAAUUCCAGUAACUUAGUCUAGUCCGAGUUGCUCCCAGUUGCUCCCCACAGGCUGUCCUGCUGGAAUGGAGAAUAAUGGUGCAUUGUCUAAAAUUCCACUAAUGCCAGACUGCAAGUAAGCCUUUGAGAGUCCCCCGAACUGACCUGAGCCCUAGAUAAUUACAUGCUGGGAGUCCCCACAGGUGAGACCACCAGGAAUCUGUGCAGCUGAGCAUGGCCAGGUUGUAGAAUCAGGAGCAAACACACAUUUGCCGAGUAGCUACACAGUUGUUGUUAACAGGGACAACACCUUCCAAGCAUCUAAAUUUCACAUCUUUGCUCUUAACAUGCUCUCUCUUCUGGGAAGCUAGCUGUAUUAGAGGGACCUACUUAUUUAUUAAAGAAAGAUAUACCUCAGAGCCACUGGGAAUUGGCUGCCAAAUGUCCCCAGAGCCUACACCAGCAAAGCAAAAUAAUAGAAUUGGUGUUGAUCCUUGUUUUGUUCUAUCAGUGAUUUAUAUUCAUUCUGGACAUAUAAUCUAAUAGGAAAAAAUAGCUGUACCAUUUGUGAUUAUUUGUUCUCCUGUAGUAAUUAUUAGAAUAUAUGUUACUUUUUGGGUUAAUUGUAUAAAUAAUUGCAAAUGAUUGAAAUAUUCCAUAAUAGUUAUUACAAAUAAUUAUAAUAUCUAAAUCCAUAAUAAGUAGCUAACUUUUGAGAAAUUAUGACAGAAGAAAUUUAAGAAGUUAAUUUCUCUCUUUCAAUACACAUAUAUAAAAAUACACACAUACAAAUAAAUACAUACAAUAAAAUAUAAGAAGAUGAAUUAUAAAUUCUCUCAAGCAUAAAAAUGUAAUACAGUAGAAAAAUUCUGGGAGAUUAAAUGAAAAUGUUAAGUUCAAAGUGAAAAACAAUACAAAACUUUCCAACAGUCAUGAAAUUAUUCAUAUAUGAAAUUGAUUUUGUAUUUAUUUCAUAGAUAUGAAUAAAUUAUUUUAAUGUAAAUAUACAUAGAAUACCAGAAUUUGUGUUACUGUUUAUUUUUUCCAAAAGAAACCAAUUAUUUAAUGAGUACAAAUUUCAUACAUAAAACUUUAGGAAUAUAGUGAUUCUUCCCAUCAUGCCUGCCCUCCCAACCCACCUCCUCCUCCUUCUCAUAUUCCCAGUCCCAUUAUCCUUUAAGAAAAAAGAUGUUCCUUGACAGGAAGGCAAGAGAUAUAUAUCCAAGUCAUUUUUUCUCAAAGUGUCAAAAGUGCCAACUUCAUUCCUAUAAAUUUCCUUUUAGGUGCUCUUUUAAUUAUCAUAGAUCAGGGAGAACAUAUGGUAUUUGUCCCUUUGGGACUAGCUCAUUUCACUAAAUAUGAUGUUUUGAAAAUUCAUCCAUUUUGUUGCAAAUGAUCAGAUCUCAUUUUUUACUGCUGUGUAGUAUUUCACAGAGUACAUAUCCCAUAAUUUCUUUAUGCAGUCUUCAGUUGGCAGGAAUUUAGGUUGAUUCAAUUUCUAAGCUAUUGUGAAGUGAGCUACGAUAACCUGGGGGCAUAGAUAACUCUUUUAUUUGCAGAUUUCAUUUCCCUUGGGGAAAUACCCAGGAGUGGGAUGGCUGGGUCAUAUGGUAAUUCUAUAAUCAGAUUUGUGGGAUACCUUCAAACUGACUUCCAUAAUGCUUUUACCAGUUUGCAUUCUCACCAGUAGUGGUUAGGGUAUCAUUUUCCCCACAACCUCACUGGCAUUUGUUGUUUAUUGAUUUCUACAUGAAAGCCAUUCUAACUGGGAUGAGGUGAAAUUUUACUGUGGUUUUGAUUGGCAUUUCCCUGAUGACUUGUGAUCCUGAGCAUUUUUCCAUGUGUCCAUUGGCCAUUUGGAUUUCCUCUUUUGAAAAAUGUCUGUUUAAGUCCUUUGCCCAUUUUUUUAACUUGGUUGUUUGUUUUAUUGUUGUGGAGUUCCUUGAUCUCUUUAUAUAUUCUGGUAAUUAAUCCUUUAUCAGUUGCAUAGCUUGCAAAUAAUUUUCCCAUUCUGUCAAUUGCCUCUUUACUUUCUUGGGUGUUUCAUUUGUAGUGCAGAAGCUUCUCAAUUUGAUAUAAUCCCAUUUGUUGAUUUUGGCUUUGAUUGUCUGUGUCUCUGUGGUCUUUCCCAAGAACUUUUUGCCUGUGCCUAUGUCUUGCAGGAUUUUCCCCAUGUUCUCCAGUAAUUUGAUGGUAUCAGGUUGUAGAUUUAGGUCUUUAAUGCAUUUUGAAUGGAUUUUCAUGUAAGGGGUAAGGUAGAGGUCCUGCUUCAUAUUCCUGCAUGUGGAAAUCCAGUUUUCCCAGCACCAUUUGUUAAGGGACUGUUUGCUCCAGGAAUUGGUUUUAGUUCCUUGGUCAAAUAUAAGUUGGUGGUAGAUGCUUGGAUUGAUUCCUGGAGGUUCUAAUCUGGUCCAUUGGUCUAUCCAUCUGUUUUUGUACCAGUACCAAGCUGUUUUGAUUAUAACUGCCUUUGUGGUAUGUCUUGAACUCUGGUAUUGUGAUGCCUCCAGCUUUGUUUUUGCUGUACAAGAUUGCUUUAGCUAUUCAAGGUCUCCUGUGAUAUCAUUUGAAUUUCAGCAUCAUUUUUUGUAGAUCUGAGAAGAAUGUCUUUGGUAUUUUAAUUGGUAUUGCGUUGAAUCUGUAAAUCUUUUGGAGGAAUGUAUUUUUUUUUUAUUUUUUGACAGGCAGAGUGGAAAGUGAGAGAGAGACAGAGAGAAAGGUCUUCCUUUUGCCAUUGGUUCACCCUCCAAUGGCUGCCGCAGCCAGCGCACUGUGGCUGGCACAUUGCGCUGAUCCGAAACAAGGAGCCAGGUGCUUCUCCUGGUCUCCCAUGCGGGCACAGGGCCCAAGCACUUGGGCAAUCCUCCACUGCACUCCUGGGCCAUAGCAGAGGGCUGGCCUGGAAGAGGGGCAACUGGAACAGAAUCCAGCACCCCGACCGGGACCUGAACCCAGUGUGCCGGCGCCACAGGCGAAGGAUUAGCCUAUUGAGCCACGGCACCAGCCAGGAAUGUAUAUUUUGAUGAUACUGAUUCUUCCAAUCCAUGACAUGGAAGAUUUUUCCAUUUUUUUGUAUCUUCUAUUUAUUUCUUUAAUGUCUUGCAAUUCUCAUUGUAGAGAUCUUUGCCUUCCUUGGUUAAAUUUAUUCCAAGGUAUUUGAUUGUUUUUAUAGCUAUUGUGAAUGGGAUUGAUCUUAGAAGUUCUUUCUCAACUGUGGCAUUGUCUGUAUAUAUAAAUGCUGUUCAUUUUUGUGUAUUGACUUUAUAUCCUGCUACUUUAUCAAACUCUUCUAUGAAUUCCAAUAGUCUCUUGGUAAAGUCGUUUGGAUUCCCUAUAUAUAAAAUUAUGUUAUCUGCAGAUAGGGAUAGCUUGAUUUUUUUUCUCAUUCCCAAUUUGAAUCCCUUUGAUUUCUUUGGCUAAUGGACACAGUGGACAUCCUUGUCUGGUUCUGGACCUCAGUUGGAAUUAUUCCAACCUUUUUUAUUCAUUAAUUUGUUGGCCAUGGAUUUGUCAUGAAUUGCCUUGAAUGUGUUGAGAAGUGUUCCGUAUAUACCCAGUUUGCUUAGAGUUUUCAUCAUGAAAGGGUAUUAUAUGUUAUCAAAUGCUUUCUUUACAUCUAUUGUGAUAAUCAUAUGGUUUUUGUUCUUCAGUUUGUUAAUGUGUUAUAUCACAUUGAUAGAUUUGUGAAUGCUGAAAAAUCCUUGCAUACCAAGGAAAAUCCCACUUGGUCCAGAUAAAUGAUCUUUCUGAUGUGUUGUUGGAUUUGAUUGGCUAGAAUUUUGUUGAUGAUUUUUGCAUCUAUGUUCAUCAGGGAAAUUGUUCUGAAGUUCUCUUUCUCUGUUGUCUCUUUUUCAGGUUUAGGAAUUAAGGUGAUGCAGGCUUCAUAGAAUUUGGGAGGAUUUCCUCUCUUUCAGUUGUUUUGAAUAACUUGAGAAGAAUUGGAGUUCUUUAAAUAAUCAUCAUUAUCAUCAGAUGGCAGUGAAGCCAUCUGAUGCUGGGCUUUUCUAUCUUGGGAGGGUCAUUAUUACUGAUUCAAUUGCCAUCUUGUUAAUGGGUUUGUUUAGGUUUUCUAUGUCUUCAAGGAUAAAUAGAUUUUAUUGUCCAGGAAUCUAUCCAUUCCUUCUAGGUUUCCCAGUUUGUUGGCAUAUAGCUCUUUGUAUUAAUUUCUAAUGAUUCUUUCUAUUUCCGUGGUGUCUGUUGUUACAUUUCUUUUUUCAUCUCUAAUUUUAUGAUUUGGGUCUUCUCUCUCCUUUUUUGGUUAGUUGGGCCAAUGGUAUUUCAGUUUUUUUUUAUUUUUUCAACAAAUCAGAUUUUCAUUUUGCUGAUCUUUUUAUUGUUUACUUGUUUCAGUUUUGUUGAUUUUUUUCUCUAAUUUUAAUUAUUUCUUUUCUCCUACUAGUUUUGGGCUCUGUUUGCUGUUUUCUUUCUAGAUCCUUGAGACAUAGUGAUAGCUCAUUUUUGGUGUCUUUCCAAUUUCUUGAUGUAGCACCAAGUGCUAUAAACUUUCCUCUUAAUACUGCUUUUGCUGUAUCCCAUAACAUUUAAUAUGUUGUAUUGUCAUCUUCAUUUGCUUCUAGAAGUUUUUUCACUUCUCUUUUGAUUUCUUCUAUGACCCAAGGUUCAUUCAUGAGAAUUGUUCAGUCUCCAUGUUUGCGUAUGUUCUAGAUAUUCCUGAGCUGCUGAUUUUCAGGUUCAUUGUGUUGUGGUCCAAGAGGAUGCAUAGUAUGAUUUCAUUUUUUUUUUAAUUUGCCACGACUUGUUUUAUGGCAUGGCAUAAAGUCAAUCCUAGAGAAGGUUCCAUGCACAAGUGAGAAGAAUGUGUAUUCUGCAACUUUAGGUUUAAAAGUUCUAUAGCUAUGUGUUAGGUCCAUUUGGUCUAUAGUGUCAGUUAAUUUUGCUGUUUCCUUGCUGAUUUUCUGUCUGGCUGAUCUGUCUAUUGCUGAAAGUGGGGUAUUGAAAUCUACCAUUGCUUUUGUAUUUUACUCUAUGUAUCCCUUUAGAUCCCUGUAAUUAGGUGCAUAUAUGUUUAUAAUAGUCACAUCUCCUUGUUUAGUUGAUCCUUUAAUCAUUACAUAGUACCCUUCUUUAUCUCUUUUAACCGGUUUUCUGUUAAAGUCUAUUUUGUCUAAUAUUAAGAUAGCUACACCACCUCAUUUUUAUUUCUUUUGGCAUGGACUAUCUUUUUUUCUAUCCUUUCACUUUUAGUCUGCAUGCAUCUUUGUUAGAGUAAGAUGUGUUUCUUGUAGGCAGAAAGUAGAUGGAUUUCGUUUUUUAAUCUAUUCAGCCACUCUGUAUCUUUUAACUGGAGAGUUAUGGCCAUUUACCUGCAAGGUAACUAUUGGUAAGCUUUGAAUUUGCCUUGCCAUUUUUCCAUACAUAUUCCUAGUUUUUACUUUGAAUUUCCUUUGUACUUUUGCUGGGACUUUUCUUUCCUCUACCUUAUUCCAUAUUGAUGAUCAUGUUUCUGUGUUUCUGCGUGCAGCAUAUCCUUAAGCAUCUUCUGCAGGGCUGAAUGGGUGGUCACAAAUUUUUUCAGUUUUUUUUUUGUUAUGAAAGGUCUUUAUAUCACCUUCAUUCAUAAAUGAGAGCUUUGGACAGUAUAGUAUUCUGGAUUGACAAUUUUUAAGACUUGGACUGUAUCUCCUAGCCUUUUGGGUUUCUGAUGAGAAGUCUGCUGUGAGUCUGUUUGGAGAUCCUCUGAAAGUAAUUUUGCAUUUUUCUCGUGCACAAUUUAGAAUCUUUUUUUAUGUUUUACUGUGGAGUUUGAUUGCAAUGUGUUGUGGUGAAGAUUUUUCUGGUCAUGUCUAUUAGGAGUUCUGCAUACUUCCUGUACUUAGAUGCCCCUUUCUUUCUUUUUUCCUUUUUUUAAGAAUAGUUUUAUGUAAUGAGUACAAAUUUCAUAGGUACAGCUUUAGGAAUAUAGUGGGUCCCCCAUACCUGCCCUCCCAUCCCUACUCCUGCCCCACCUCCUACUACCUCUCCCAUCCCAUUCUUCAUUAAGAUUCAUUUUGAACUAUCUUUAUUUAUAUACAGUAGACCAACUCUAUAUUACAUAAAAAUUUCAACAGUUUGCACCCACACAGACACACAAAGGGCUGAUUCUGAGGCCAGACUGCUAUUUAAGGCAUUUGUCGUUUUAUGAGUCUGCUGUGUGGCCCGUUUCCCAUGUUGGAUCAUUCUCUCCUUUCUAAUUCUAUCUUGUUAUUACCAGACACUUGGUCUUAUUUAUGUGAUCCCUUUGACACUUAAUCCUAUCUAUAUUAUUAGUUACACACUUACUAUGAUCACUUUAACAUAAGAUGUCAUUAGUUUGACUUCCACAUUCUCAAUUUGUAAUUGGAUGCCCCUUUCUUUCUCCAAAUUGGGGAUUUUUUUUUGUAAUUAUUUCAUGAAAAAGGACUUCUAAUCCUUUCUCUGUUUCUACACCUUCAGGUACUCCUAGAACCCAUAUGUUAGGUCAUUUGAUAGUGUCCUCCAGAUUCCCAACAGUGUUUUUUAGUUUUCUAAUUCCUACUUGUGUUUGCUCUGACUGUUUAAUUUCCUGUUCUUUGUCUUCUAAGUUGGAUAGUCUUUCUUCUGCUUUACUGAUUUUGUUGUAAAGGCUUCCCACUGUAUUUUUUAUUUGUUCUAUUGAAAAUCCUAAUUUUAUGGGAGAAAUUUUCUUUCAUGUCAUGUUUGUAUUUUAUUAGUUCAUGGAUUUGUUUCUGAUUACCUCUAAGUAAUCCUAUGAUCAAUUUUUUGAAUUCUAUUUUGGUAUUUCUUCAGUCUCAUCAUCUUCACAAUCUAGUAUUGAGGUGUUGUGUUCUUUUUGCAGAUAUCAUGUUGUAUUCCUUGUUUUUGUUUUUUGGAUUGGUGUAUUUGUUACUUGGUGCUUGUUGGCGUACUCGUUUUUUUUUUUCUUCUUCUUCUUCUUCUUCUUCUUCUUCUUCUUCUUCUUCUUCUUCUUCUUCUUCUUCUUUUUGCUGUGGUGGUUUAUAUUUUUGGACCAUGUCUAAUUGGAUUAGUGAAGUGUCUGCUUUUGGGAAAUAACUAGAGGUGUGUGGUGGCGAGUGGCCAGAGAGCUCUGUUCAGUGCUCCAUGGUGAAGGAUGUGUCUGAGGGGACAUACCCAGUUUUGGAGUGUUAAAUCCCCCCCCCAUUUUUUUUAAAUUCGAGGUGAGGUUUCUUCUUUUCUGUUGGCAUAGACUCAGCUGAGGUCCUCUCCUAGAAGGAGACCAGUGCCUGGGUGCUAACCCCUGUGAGUAUAUUAUUUGUUCAUGCUGUCACAAGGACCACACAAAGGAUCUGUGCAGUCCUCAGCGUAAGUCAGAUUCCCCAGCAAUGCCUCUCACCAAGUAAUCAGGGAUCCCUGAUUGUGUGGUGCCUCCCACAGGGACUGCCCAGUUCCAUCCACACCCUGAGUCUUCCCACACAGCCUCAAUGUUUCACAGUCCUGCACAUGUACCUCCUACAGUAACAAGCACCCUGCCCCCAGUGUCCUCUCCCCACCAGACUCAGGAGUCUCUGCUUUUCUUGCUGCUGGGUGCAGACACAAUCUCGUAUAGUUGUUAUGUAUGUUCCAAAUGGCACCUGCUGUCUCUCAGCUUGAUACAGGGCAACUUUGCAGGUUGAAUGGGGAGAGAGAAAAUGUGCCUUCCCCUUUGUUUUUUUCUCCUCCAGUUUUAUGGGUUAUCCCCCAUCUGGCUCCAAGUCAGAUUCAUAUAGGCUCUUCCUGUAGCUUUUUAGCCAGUGUCUUCGGCUACUGCAGUCUGGUCUCACCUUGCUCUCCAACACUGUUGUGAGGCUCUCGGCUUGUGGGGUGCUAAGUUGUGCAUGUCUUUGCCCUCCACAUGGGUCCACUGUAUUCCUGCAGUUUACGUAAGUUUUCUCUGCUGUUUCCUCCCUAAAUCUUCCCUGAGACUGUACUCUGUUGUUUUUUUAGCUAUCUUCUAGACUCAAGCAGCAAGCUCCCUCCCUACUCCGCCAUCAUUUUAAUGUGUAAUUGCAGAACUCUUUCACACAGGUCAACAAAUUUUACAAAAAGUCAAUUAAAAAAGGCAUAGGAACAUGUACUGCAUUUUUCAAAAUUAUUUUGAGGAGUAAACAAGAAAAGCUGUAUUUCAUUCCAGGCUAAUUUUCUGCAGGUCAAAGUUACUGAAAAAGCCUAUAAUAAUGUAAAAUACACUAAGAUAAUAAAUAAUAUGCUCCAAGAAAUGUGUAAAAAUGAAGGAAUUAUACUAAUUAGGGUGAUUAGAUGGUUUUAUAUAUCAAGUGAGGCCACAAAUUAUUUCUUGGGUUGCCUAUUGGCUGUGCUUGAAAUUCUCUCUUUGUCUUUGAGUUAGGUAUUUAACCUUCUUGGGUUACUUAAUUUGAAAAGUAUAUGGGAAUCCUUUUCUCUAUUGACAUGGAGAAAUUUUAAACAAGUAUGUAUUAAUGUAGCCUUUGCCUUUGCAUAACCUCCAACUCACGGUUAUCCACUUGCUUUUUAAAUAAGAACAUUUGAGAGUAUUCACAGAGGAUGUUGUAGAACACCCAUGGUUCACAUGUAGUAUUAAGGUCUAACUUCGAAUUAAUUAUAACCCUAUAGAGCAGGGUACCUGAACCACAGCCAUUGCAUUUCUGUAGAUGCACCUUUAGUGGCUGGUCCUUGCUAGGGUGCCAGGGUCUUCACAGAGCCAUAUCAUAGGAAAUAGUCUAGGAUUUUUAUUGAUUAUGUAAUCACUUCAUUAUAGAACACUGAGAGAAAAGAUUUCUCACUAGCUGUGAAUUUAUUCAACUGUUGCUCUAACUCAUAUAAUUAACCAUGUUUUUCACUUUCUAUUGACAACUAGAUGAUUUAUAGCUAAGUUCUGCAUAUUUUCACAAAUGGACAGGAAAUAUGCUGUGUAUUUCAUUCAUUUAAUAAAAUGGCUUUAUGCUGUUUUAUUAGUUCAGAUUUUCCUUCUUGUUUGCUUUGAAUUAAAGUUUAUUUUGUUGUAUUUUAUGUAGCUCAGCAAGUCAUUUUAAAAAAUAAACUUACUACAAGGAAUAAUAUAAAUAAACAAAAUUGUUACUGGAAGACAGCAAAUGAGGAGUUCAUCACUAUUAUGUGUGUUGAAAAAAGAUGGAUUCAACUUGAAGCUUGUGAAACUUAAAAUUCAAAGUACCUUGGUUGUGUAGGCUCCUUCCAAGGCCAUGGAUCUAAUUUUCUAUUUCUUGUUUUGUAUUAUUUUUUUCCUUAAUGCUGACCCACCAUCUAAAUUACGUAAGGUCCAGGUUCCGCAGAAUAAGGUUGUGCCCCUUGUCAGAUGGCAUAAUGCCUUUCAGUAAUAGUAGACAUCAUAGAACAGACAGAAAGAGGAGGGAUAUUUUGUGCCUGACAGAGCAACUCAGUUGUAUCUUCUAUGGGCAGUUGCCAAGAGGCCCAUUCAACCAAUUAACUCAGUGAUCAGUCUGUAGUCCCUAAAAGCUCAAGCCAGACCACGUACCAAUGACUAUACAGUUCUAAAUCCUUUAUUUGGCAGGGAAAGGAACUCAACUGAGAAUUUGGUCAAUUUUUUAAAUAUUUAUUUAUUUAUUAGAAAAGGCAGAAUUAGAGACAGAGAGGGAGAGAGAAAGAGGUCUUCCAUCUGCAACAACCAGGACUUGGCCAGGUUGAAACCAUUAGCCAGGAAUUUCAUCUGGGUCUCCCUUGUGGGUUCAGGGACCCAAACACUUGGGCCAUUUUCUCCUGCUUUCUCGGGUUCAUUAGCAGAGAGCUGGAUCGGAAGUGGAGCAGCCAGAGUCAAACUGGAAUCCAUGUAGACUGCCAGUGCUGCGCCACAGUGCUGGCCUGGGAUUUGGUGAAUCUGACUGAUUAUUCUGAAAAUGUGCUUAUAUGUAUGUAUAAUUUAUGUAAAUUUGGAUUUUUUAGCACAUUGAGAAUACUAGAAAUUAAUUGCAUAUUUAUUACUGUGGCCCUUCUGAUUCUGACAUUUGAUGACUUAAGUUGCAGCCUGCAUAGAUUUGCCCCAAUAGUUUGUGGCCAAUAAACCUAGUGGUCCUCAUCAAGGUUAUAACUGGUUUUGUACGGAAGGGGGAGGCCAGAAAUGUACCAAGAGCAACUUUUGAUUCUGUCUGAUCUGAAUUCACUUCAGAGAGAUGGUCUAAGAUGGGAAACCUGAAACAGUUUUUAAUUGCUCACCGCUAAAUAGAAAAGAGUGUAGGUUGGUUGUUUUCUCUAAUCUUUCCUUCUUAAGCAACAUAUGGCAUUAGUAGCGUCUUUUCCAUUUGGAUUUCAUUCAGAUCAAAUUCUGAGCCUGGUGUAGGGACAAGGUCUCAUUGGCGCCAUGCUUUUUCACAGUGAUUUAUGAAAUACACUGCUAUUUUAUGAAUUGCUUUUUAUUUCUUCUAAGAAAAUGUAUUUUUACAUACAAAAGCUGUAAAGGAACUCAUUCUCUAUCACUAAAUAGAACAGUGUUCAUCAUUAAAUGAGGAAGCUUCACACCAUAUUUGUAUUGUCAAACCUGUGGGUAGAGUCAGGUCUGUUUGAGCCAGGUCUUUGGCCAUCUCUGUUACUGUGGCCAAUAGUGAAGACAACCGAGUGUAAUGGGACAUUUGGCAUUCUCUGAAGUGAAAGGUACCCGGUGUUUUUUUUUAACUUUUAUUUAACAAAUAUAAAUUUCCAAAGUACAGCUUAUGAUUACAGUGGCUUUUCCCCCCCCAUACUUCCUUCCCACCCGCAACCAUCCCAUCUCCCGCUCCCUCUCCCAUUCCAUUCACAUCAAGAUUUUCAAUUCUCUUUGUGUACAGAAGAUCAAUUUAGUAUAUAUUAAGUAAAGAUUUCAACAGUUUUCACCCUCACAGAAACACAAAGUGAAAUAUACUGUUUGAGUACUUGUUAUAGCAUUAAUUCACAUUGGACAACACAAUAAGGACAGAGAUCCUAUAUGGGGAGUAAGUGCACAGUGACUCCUGUUGAUUUAAUUGACACUCUUGUUUAUGACAUCAGUAAUCACCCUAGGCUCUUGUCAUGAGUUGCCAAGGCUAUGGCAGUCUUUUGACUUCACCGACUCCGAUCUUAUUUAGACAAGGUCAUAGUCAAAGUGGAAGUUCUUUCCUCCCUUCAGAGAAAGGUACCUCCUUCUUUGAUGGCCUGUUCUUUUUGCUGAGAUCUCACUCACAGAGAUCUUUCAUCCAGGUCCUUUUUUUUUUUUUUUUGCCAGAAUGUCUUGGCUUUCCAUGCCUGAAAUACUCUCAUGGGCUUUUUAGCCAGAUCUGAAUGCCUUAAUGGCUGAUUCUGAGGCCAGAGUGCUGUUUAGGACAUCUGCCAUUCUAUGAGUCUGCUGGAUACACAGUGUUUCAAUGCCAGUCCUGAACAUGACUCCUACUGGCUGACUUUUGUCACUUCUACAUGAAUGGUAGCAUUGGAUUUGCUGAACUAUGUUAUUUGGAAAAGGAUGGUUUACUGCCAUUAUUCACUGAACCUGGACUUUGUAAUUACUGUACUAUGCUUCUCUCUUUCCAGGUUCCACUUUACUGUGGAAUUUUUUCUCUUCUUAUGCUCAUUUCCCACCUCCUCUCUGUAUUUUAGAUUUUCCUAAGGGUUUUCCUUGCUUUCAGUCUUAUCUCCGUUAGAUUUAGCUUCUGGGUGGCUCCCAGUGUGACACUCCUCCAAUGGCUUGCAUAGCUGCUUAUCACUUCCUGUGAUCAGUCCUGCCAUCCAGGCAGAGUAACACUUUGUGUCUUUGAAUGUUAGCAUCCACCACUGUAUCCUAUGUUUCCUCCACCCAGUUAUCUUCUGUCCAUUUUGAAGAAGUGGUCUCUAGAGGUCACCUCUUCUAAGAAGUUUUCAGUUAAUCACCUCCUAAAACUACCUAUUCCUCUUAGAUAGCUCUUCUUUGUGUGUGUGUGUGUGUGUGUGUGUGUGUGUGUGUGUUUGUGUUCUUGAUAUACUGCACUCAAUUCCAUUGCUGGUUUUUGUGUGUGACAUAUUUAUUGAGAUAAAACUCACAGACCAUAGAAUUUACUCAUUUCAAGUAUAUGAUUCUGGUUUUUAGUAUAUUUUGAGUUAUGCCACCAUCAUCACAAUCAAUUCUUUGAAUCAUCCACAGUCCAAAGCUGGAAAAAUCCAAAUGUCAGGGCCAGCAUUGUGGCAUAGCAGGUUAAGCCUCUACUUGUGAUGCUGGCAAGCAGAUGUGUGGGUGCUGGUUUGAGACCUGGCUGUUCUACUUCCAAUCCAGCUCCCUGCUAAUGUGCCUGGGAAAGUAGUGGAAGAUGGCCCAAGUGCUUGGGCCCCUAUACCCAUGUGGGAGACCCAGAAGACGUUUCAGGCUCCUGGCUUUGUGGCCAUCUGGUGCUGUAAAACAGCAGAUGGAAGUUUCUCUCUCUCUCUCUCUUCCCUUCUCCUCCUCCUCCUCUUCUCUCUAACUCUGCCUUUUAAAUAAAUAAAAAAUAAAUUUUAAAAACCAAAUGCCAAGCAACUGAUAAGUAAAAGACAGUAUAUUCAUAUAAUGGAUUGUUAUUUGGUCCUACCAAGGAAGUACUAUUUAUGCAUGCUACACUAUGAAUAAAACUUGAAAAUACUAUGUUCUUGGAAGGAAGCCAGACUUUCACACAUUGUUUUGUAAUUGUUGAUAUCUACCUUUGUCUCCUUCUUUAGUUUAUGAACACUACAGUGCUAGGGGAUAUUGUAUGCAUGUUCUAUCUCCCACAUAAUGUUUUGUAUGCAGCAGGAAUUCGGUAGAUAUUUAUUGGUAGAAAACACACACAAUUAAAUACUAUAGACUAAACCAAACAGAGUGGGGAAAUGUAAGUACAUAAAUUUAGAUUCCAUAAAAAGAAACCAGAUAUUGCCUGGCUCUUGCAGGUCUUAAAAUAAGAUGAAAAAGAACAAAUUACAGGUGAUAUUUUCUUAUUGGAGGUAUAUUCAUUCUUCAUAUUCAUCCCUACUUUUGCAGCUGUCAGUCUGUGAAGAAUUGAGCCUUCAUCCUUUUCCCUCGUUAAUAUUGCAUCCAGAAAGGGAACAGUAGCUUGAAGUCUUACGUCUCUUUGUAACACCUUGGGGUUAGUACCCUCACUUCUCCUAGCACAACAACCUGUCACUCCUGGUGCCUCAAUGCCCUACUACAUGGAACAUGCUGGAUCUCUCCCAGUCACACGUGUUUUCUCCCUUUCCUGACAACCCCUGCCUUGAUUUCAAGCUUCCCUAUAUCUUCAAUCUAAUUUAGAGUUCUGGACCUCGUUUUUACUGAACCUGGCUACCUCUUGAAUACACUGCCAUCCUUGAGCCUGGGUAACUGGAGACUUCUUUUCAUAUGCUCAGUUACCUUGGGACCUGAAUCUCUCCACUCCAGUGCAGCUCUGAAACCACUGUACUGUCUUCCUUCCCUGAGCUUCCUAGAUCCACUAAAGUGUGUGAUAUCAUAUUGUUAACAUUCCCCUCUUACUAUUUUACUCAUUCUCCUCCAUUUGUUAAAGACUGGCUCCUUGGUCAGGGUAUUUUCUCCAUCCUUGUGCCUGUCCUCCUGCAGACUUUCACACUCACAUAUUUAUCCUGUCCACCCCACUGACCUUGUCAGGAGUUGGCCUCCUUGGUUCUAAUAAAUAACUUUCCUCUACCAAGUACCAGCCAUCUUGCUUUCUUUUUUUUAAAGAUUUGUUUAUUUGAAAUAGUUAUAGAGAGAGGUAGAGACAGAGAGAGAAGUCUUCCAUCCACUGAUUUACUCCCCUAAAUGGCUGCAAUGGCUGGAGCACUAGCUGGUCUGAAGCCAGGAACCAGGAGCUUCUUGUGAGUCUCCCACGUGGGAGCAGGAACCCAAGCACUUGGCCCGUCCUCUGCUGCUUUUCCAGGUGCAUUAACCAGGAGCUGGAUCGGAAGUGGAGCAGCUGGGACUCGAAUUGGCACCCAUAUAGGAUGUUGGCACUGCAGGCCAGGUCUUUAACCUGCUGUGCCACAGUGCUUGUCCCACCAUCUUGCUUUCAUAGUCCAAUCCAACCCUAGGUAUUGAUAAUAACCAUAUUAACUCUGAAUUCUUGGCUGGUAAGAUGGCUAGUGUAUAGGAUGGAUUUUUGAGAUAUUGUUCAAAGCAUUUUCAGAAUAUAAAUCAGAUAUGCUAGUGACACUAAGAAGUAGCUGUUGUUACCUGCAUUUUAUAGAUGAAGACAUUUUUAGUUUAGAGCAGCCUCUGACACUCUUCCUUCUGGCCGUUCUCCUUGGGCUAGUAGAAACCACUAAUCUGUUUAUCCUGCUGUGUUGCUUCAUAGAAAAUAAUUUACCAUGUGACAAACUGCAGACAGUGAUGGUUGAAGAGUUCAGUUUUAUUUAGAAUUGAAAGGAAAAGGUUUUUUGGUAGAGGUAACAAUUUAGAUGUCUCUCAAUUCUAGAUGCAACCCAGACAAGAUUGUCCCAGGCUGGAAUAGUGUUCUACUCUGGAUCUUCCCACCAGCUUUCCUGGCCACCUGAUUGUGUGUGUGUGUGUGUGUGUGCACAUCAUGCUCCUGCACCAGAAGCUUACUUAGGACUGAAAUCCUCACCAUUCACUGAACAGUUACUCUCAUGUUUCCCUUAUUGUCUCCUCUGAUUAUUGUUACUAUUUAUAGAAUUUUCUACCAUUCUGUAGAUCUUUGUAAAUUCCAAUAUGCCCAUCCAUAUGUUUAUCUACCCAUUCAUUCAAACUACUCUUAGAAAUGCCUAAUGGAGGUUGGCUACUGUAUUGUAUGUCGGGAAAAGAGAAAAAAUGUCGACUUUUAAAGUGCUUACUAGAAGAUUAAAACAAAGUUUUGCUAAUAGCAGCCACAGUAAUAGAAGUGGUGAACAUUUAUUGAGCAUGUACUCUGGGUCAAAACUGAUUCUGAACUGAGCAUGUCUGAUGCCUAAUAGUAAGCUUGUGAUUGUUGUUGGAGGUGAACUUUCAGUCUAGUGACCUUUCCCAGAUUCUCUGAAAGCUGUGCCACAGAACCAAAGUGCAUCAGCAUGGAACAUGGUGCUGUGGUUGUGAUUAGACAUUUUGAUCUCUGUCUAUCUGAUGCUUGAGUCUAUGUUUUAUUUGCUGCAUUUGUACUUCACUUUGAGUUGCCUGUGAAUUAAGUCUGAACCCCAUUAUAAGUGGAAAGUGAGAUGUUAAAAUUUCUGGUAAUAAGAAAAGUGAUGUUAUGCAAGAAAGGAACACAAGUAAAAGCUGUUUUGAUGGUUUUGAAAAUACACCUGAUGUUGCAAUGUGAAUGAUCUGAAGGACUGAGAGGCAGGAAUGACUUCAACGGUGACUUGAAGUGAAUUGUGAUUCAAUAAAGUGGAAUCAGAGUCACUGAGAAAAUGAAAACACAACUCAAAACAAACCAAAAAGUGCAUCUUUCGGGUAUGUGGCUAGAUGGUGGGCAUCAACCCCAUUGCCGUGGAGGCUUCUGGUAGUAAGGAAUGGCAGGGUAUUUGAGAGCUGCUGCUGCUGAGUCUUUUGUGGCACCUCUAGUGCUGAGUCCUUCUGCAAGGUGGCCCAAAGUGGAAGGCAUCCUAGAGCUUUCAGGGAGGAUUUUGAAGAUGGAAUCGUGGGGACAGUCUGCCUCAACUGCUUCCCUAUGUAUCCAGAAUUAGCUCUCUUUAUUGGUUCCUGUCAGGAAGGGUGAGGCAAGAAUGGAAAUAUGAUAUCCAAGGAAGAGAUGGGAGGCAAAGAUUUCAGGUCUUAAGAGUUGACUCGGCCGGUGCCGUGGCUACGUAGGCUAAUCCUCUGCCUGCAGCGCCGGCACACCAGGCUCUAUUCCCAUUUGGGGCACUGGAUUCUGUCCCGGUUGCCCCUCUUCCAGUCCAGCUCUCUGAUGUGGCCCAGGAGUGCAGUGGAGGAUGGCCCAAGUGCUUGGGCCCUGCACCCGCAUGGGAGACCAGGAGAAGCAGCUGGCUCCUGGCUUCGGAUCAGCAUGGUGUGCCAGCCAUUGGAGGGUAAAGGAAGACCUUUCUCUCUGUCUCUCUCUUUCUCACUGUCCACUCUGCCUGUCAAAAAAAGAAAAAGAAGAGUUGACUCAAACACCUAAUUAGCAGAAAUGUAUUUGGGGACUCCUUAUUUAAACCAUAUGAUCAUUUUUAAGUUACAACAGAAAUCCUUAAAAAUAAUUUGUUUAGAAUUUUACUCUACAUAGGUGGAGAAGUUUCUACAGACAGAUGGAAGAUGUUGGACUGUUGAGAAACCUGGCUUUCAUUGCAAACACAAGAGAAGAAGGCUUAGGAAAUCAGGUGGAAUGAAGGUGGGAUAAUGGAAGCCUUUUGGGGGGCAAGCAAUGAAAAGAUGGGGGAAGGACAAGAAAUGGUCAAGGCUUUGCAGAAGGAUGUAUUUGUGAGUUUUACAGGAGAGAAUAUUGGUUUGCAAACAUCAGGAUGCAAAACAGAGCAAGAAGCCCCUGAGAUUGGUGAGCACAUGAGUCAGUGACUCCAGCUGAGAUUGGAAAGACCUGGAGACUUCCCAUAAAGAUCAGUUUAGGUCUUACGGUGGGCGCUUCAGGAGCAGUGCUGCUAGGCUCAAGUACUACAUCCUCUAAAGUUUCCCCAACCUUCCUGAUCAGAAUUAGUCCCGUUUUCCUCUGUUCCCUGUAGCUAGAAUCAUUAAUGUUUUUAAUUUAACAAAUGUUUAUUGAGCCCAUAUCACAAACAAGGCAGGCAGUCACUGUAACAAGGGCCUCACGGCCAAGAGGAGGGCAAGUAAAUCCAAGGAGGCAACUGCUUUGUAACAGGGGAGCGUGGGGCAUUAACAGAGCAUGUGUCUUCAGGCUCCAGAUUUGACAUGGCUGACAGGGAAGUGUCCUAGAAUGAACAUGUGAGGAGUAAUUAGCCAAACAAUGGCAGUGGAGGUAAAGAAGGAAAUUCCACCUGGCAAAUAUAACUUGCGUAGAAUUUGUAAUGAUGCUGCCUUGAAGUAUUUUGUAAACUAAUGUUGCCUUGAUGCCUGCUCUCAGUGUAAUUAGUUUACUGAGUUGAUUGAUGUGCUUUGAUGGAAUCUGGAGUCCUUUUCUUCCAACUUGCUCUGAGUUGCUUCUUGCCUGCCCACUGGCAGUGGAUUCUAAAUACAUGAUUGAAGUUAUCUGGUGCAACUGCCAUAAGAAUUUUGCUUGUUUAAUUAUAGUUUAAUUAUAUGAGGGACAUAUUCUUACUAAGAUAUUAUGUCUGUGCACACCAAGCUCUGGUCCCUCCAGAAGGAGGUCAUUACCAAAUAAUUAUUAUCCACUAACUUUACUGCUGUCUUCUUCAUGCCAUUAGGGGAAUGAUUAGAAUUGCAUACAUCUUGGAUGGCUGGGUUUGCAUUUCUCAUUUAAAGCUUUCUAGGCAUAAGGUUGUUGUUACUAUAUUUAGGCACAUUUGUGCUGAUGAAUGCACUUAUGUAGCCAAACAUUUAGAAUACAUUUAAAGAGAUCAUGGUUUUUGGAAAGCACAAGGAGGCAUUCAUCAAAUCACUUAUCUGUCA